ACAAACUUGGUCAUUUAGAGGAAGUAAAAGUCGUAACAAGGUUUCCGUAGGUGAACCUGCGGAAGGAUCAUUAGUGAAUAACAUGUCAAAGUCUCUGUUUCGGCAAGGCUUUGACAAUCACAUCCAUAACACCUGUGAACUGUAAGAUGCUUAGUGUUUCGGCACGGCAUCUGCCCUUUAUAAACAAUUAAUGUAACAAAUGUAGUCUUAUUAUAAUCAAUAAAACUUUCAACAACGGAUCUCUUGGCUCUCGCAUCGAUGAAGAACGCAGC
RNAcentral lists this unclassified non-coding RNA (272 nucleotides) under uncultured fungus. RNAcentral's name for it is "partial contains small subunit ribosomal RNA, internal transcribed spacer 1, and 5.8S ribosomal RNA". The stretch from base 1 to 73 matches the Rfam family "Eukaryotic small subunit ribosomal RNA", at positions 1759 to 1831 of the family's 1831-position model. The record is from RNAcentral. Lineage: Eukaryota; Fungi.